GCCCCGUUAGCUCAGUCGGUAGAGCAUCAGGCUUUUAACCUGAGGGCCGUGGGUUCAAGUCCCACAUGGGGCG
Anncaliia algerae PRA339 is the source of this 73-nucleotide transfer RNA. It matches the Rfam family "tRNA". Rfam says of the family: Transfer RNA (tRNA) molecules are approximately 80 nucleotides in length. NCBI's taxonomy places the organism in Eukaryota, Fungi, Microsporidia, Tubulinosematidae. The record is from Rfam.